This is a long non-coding RNA of Sander lucioperca (pikeperch), 160 nucleotides long. RefSeq lists it as uncharacterized. Lineage: Eukaryota; Metazoa; Chordata; Actinopteri; Perciformes; Percidae. The transcript has 3 exons. The record is from RefSeq and is a predicted model, not a curated record.
UACUCACCUGUGUGCAGAGGGCAGGCAGCAGUGGCACAAACCAAGAACGUUGCACAACCAGGCCUGGGAGAGAAAAUUACCAUGAUGUCUACAAAACCAAAGCAGAGAAGGAGCACACUAUACAAAAACAACAGUGGAGAGUUGCUGGAUGUGUUUGUCC